RNAcentral lists this ribosomal RNA (403 nucleotides) under uncultured bacterium. RNAcentral describes it as "bacterial SSU rRNA". It matches the Rfam family "Bacterial small subunit ribosomal RNA", at positions 58 to 507 of the family's 1533-position model. The record is from RNAcentral.
CAAGUCGCACGGUCAGCAAUGACAGUGGCGACCGGGUGAGUAACACGUAGGAAUCUAUCCCAGGGUGGGGGACAACAGCGGGAAACUGCUGCUAAUACCGCAUGAUACCUGAGGGUCAAAGGCGCAAGUCGCCUUGGGAGGAGCCUGCGUCUGAUUAGCUUGUUGGUGAGGUAAAGGCUCACCAAGGCGACGAUCAGUAGCUGGUCUGAGAGGAUGAUCAGCCACAUUGGGACUGAGACACGGCCCANACUCCUACGGGAGGCAGCAGUGGGGAAUAUUGGACAAUGGGCGAAAGCCUGAUCCAGCAAUGCCGCGUGUGUGAAGAAGGUCUUCGGAUUGUAAAGCACUUUUGGCAGGGACGAUGAUGACGGUACCUGCAGAAUAAGCCCCGGCUAACUUCGUG